AUUGAACGCUGGCGGCAGGCCUAACACAUGCAAGUCGAGCGGAUGAAGGGAGCUUGCUCCUGGAUUCAGCGGCGGACGGGUGAGUAAUGCCUAGGAAUCUGCCUGGUAGUGGGGGAUAACGUCCGGAAACGGGCGCUAAUACCGCAUACGUCCUGAGGGAGAAAGUGGGGGAUCUUCGGACCUCACGCUAUCAGAUGAGCCUAGGUCGGAUUAGCUAGUUGGUGGGGUAAAGGCCUACCAAGGCGACGAUCCGUAACUGGUCUGAGAGGAUGAUCAGUCACACUGGAACUGAGACACGGUCCAGACUCCUACGGGAGGCAGCAGUGGGGAAUAUUGGACAAUGGGCGAAAGCCUGAUCCAGCCAUGCCGCGUGUGUGAAGAAGGUCUUCGGAUUUUAAAGCACUUUAAGUUGGGAGGAAGGGCAGUAAGUUAAUACCUUGCCGUUUUGACGUUACCAACAGAAUAAGCACCGGCUAACUUCGUG
RNAcentral lists this ribosomal RNA (484 nucleotides) under uncultured bacterium. RNAcentral describes it as "partial 16S ribosomal RNA". It matches the Rfam family "Bacterial small subunit ribosomal RNA", at positions 30 to 507 of the family's 1533-position model. The record is from RNAcentral.